GCGCCUGUAGCUCAAGUGGAUAGAGCGCCAGUCUUCGAAACUGUCGGUUGGGGGUUCGAGUCCCUCCAGGCGCA
This 74-nucleotide transfer RNA is filed under the name Chloroflexi bacterium RBG_16_56_8. RNAcentral's name for it is "tRNA-Arg". It matches the Rfam family "tRNA". From Rfam's summary of the family: Transfer RNA (tRNA) molecules are approximately 80 nucleotides in length. Their secondary structure includes four short double-helical elements and three loops (D, anti-codon, and T loops). RNAcentral also lists the same sequence under 1 other name. The record is from RNAcentral. Lineage: Bacteria; Bacillati; Chloroflexota.